ACUGAUCAUGUCUCAUUGUUGGAAACGCCUCAUAGAAUAAAUAUGUUGUUUCCUUUAUUCACAGAACUGUGUGUUAGAUCUGUGGGAAGGAAUUACAAGACAGCU
RNAcentral lists this small nucleolar RNA (105 nucleotides) under Myotis lucifugus (little brown bat). Lineage: Eukaryota; Metazoa; Chordata; Mammalia; Chiroptera; Vespertilionidae. The record is from RNAcentral.